UGAGUCCCUCUCUCUGGGCCACCCCAGCACCCCCAAGUGCAGUUAUGGGGCUGCUGAAACCUGAAUUCUUCCCUAUGGAGAAAAACCUUAAAGCCACUUGUGAGGUGCUGGGGUGGCCCAGAGUGAGUGGUGGUCUAGUGCAAAGAGGGUGCCAACCACCCCCAUGGGUUGCUAACCCAUGGGGUACUGGGUUUUGUUGUUUCUGAAGUGUUCUGAGUGUACAUUCUUUGGUAGCAUAUGAGAUUUUCAAUGACAAACUGAAUCCACUCUCAUUGCUAACCUUAAAGACACAUAAACUUCAAAAAUCAGCCCUUUGCCCAAUUCCUUUCAAAUAAUUCUGAUAGCUACCUGGCCCCCCUUGGGCACUACCACCACCACACUCUGCUCUUGGACACCCCUUUUCCCCCGACGUGAAGCUAUACAUUUGCUGACACCUCCAUGCUUCUUUAUGGAGAAAAACCUUAAAGUCAUGUAAACUUCAAAAAUCACUUUAAAAUCAGCCCUUUGCCCAAUUCCUUUCAAAUAAUUCUGAUAGCUUCCUUGCCCACCUUGGGAACUACCACCCACCACACUCCACUCUAGGACACCCCUUUCUCCCUGACUUGAAGCUAUACAUUUGCUGCAAUCCUCAUUAUUCUCUAUGAGGAAUUCCAAAAUAAUUUUAAAAUUCACCAGUAAUCAGAGGAGUGUCUGAUUGCCUUGGAACUUUGUGGAUAGUAGGCACCCCUGGUUGUCUACCACCCAUCCCACCUUUGUGCCCCUAGGUGCUCCACAAUAGGGGAUAUGGGCUGAUUUGGGUCCCAUUAUACCCUAUGAGAAAAAUAAUUAAAAAUAUUUCAAAUAUUCAUAAAAAAUCAUAGGGGUGUCCAAUUGCUUCAGGAUUUCAAUGGUUGUUGGCACCAAUGGUUGCUCCACAAUAAGAAAUAAUGGGCUGGUUCGAGUCCCAUUAUACCUAAGAAAAAAAUAAAAAUAAAUUUCAAAAAUUCAUUAAAAACCGUACGAGUGUCCGAUUGCUUUGGGGUUUGGGUGGCAGGUACCCCUGGGUGCCAGCUAUCAUCCUACCAAUUUUUUGAUGUCUGAACCAGUUCAAACCAGUUCAAACUGGUUCAAAUCAAACCACCCCCAUCAAGGGACUACAAUUCUCAGGUAUCAUUUACUUUCCAACAUCAAAGCAAAAUAGUAAAGAGUCCCAGAAAAAAUCACAUCAAAUAAGUAGAUGCUAUUAAGAGUCUUUCGUAGUCCAUCAAGGGGUUAACUUGAAAGUCUUAAAAACAUUCCAGGUAGAAAGAUAAGAGGAAACUCUGCUGGGAGACUAAACACUGCCAGAACUAGCUCCAUAUGAAAGAAAGCUUGCGCAUGGGAAAGUGUGUUAUCAGGUUACGUGUAGUAAAUAUAAAAAGUCUUAGGUCUUCUAUUUGUGAUUAUUCCUAUUUCAAAUGUUGACGUUCAGGCCAGAUUUCUGAAUAGGAUUUGCAAUGCUGGGUAAUAUUUAUACUCCAUCAGUGGUGCUAGAAGGUAUUCAUCCAAUUAGUCAACAGCAGAAAAUAAAGAGAGUCCAAAAUUCCCAAAGGAUGCCGAAACGUUCAAAGUUUUUUCUUUUCCCCUGUUUUUCCAUCACCAUAAUCCAUAAUAUAAUGAAAAGGAGGCAUCAAAAGCUCAGAAAUUAAGAAUCCCCUUUCCAUUUGUCUCUACAGUCCCAACUUCAAUAAUGUUGCUAAAAGUUCCAGGCAGCAAGCAAGAGACAUAAACAUAAUUGUACCACAAGAGAGCUUCUGUAUUCAAACUUCCAUAUACAUACUGUAUUCAAACCUUUAAAAACAAAAAACCCUCAUUCAUUUAUCUAUUCCAUCCCAACUUCAAUAACGCUUCUAAACGUUCGAAACAGAGAGUGCCACACAAAGAGCAAAGAACUUAAUUACCAGCCAUAAAACACUUUUAUCAGUGCCGGAAUUCCAGUGCUGUGAUUAGAGUUCAAAAUGAGAGUAAUUAGUAACUAGAGCAUCAAACGCUUUGCAAAACCACUCGCAGGAAUUCUUCAAGGUAAAACUCAAAACUGAUUGAAAUAAGAUGCUGGGUUCUGCAAAAAAUUAAGCAGUAGAAUCACACAUUGGUCAUGUAAGACUUCAUUCCUCUCCCAGCCAACCCUCUUCUUAAUGCCGUUUACAUAAUUCCCUCUGGAAAAGUCAGUAGGAGGCUCAAAAGUAAUAAAGACCAAAAAAAGGGGAGGCCAGAAGAAGUAAAAAGAAAUGGCAAAGAUCUUGCAAGCUCAAAAGCCAUGGUCAUCUCAGAGAUUUGAUAGGCAAGAAAAAAGUAGAUAAAUAGCAAGUCGUUCUUCAGAAGGCAUGAUAUUAAGCCUGUCUCCGUUCAGCCUGAUGCUUAAUGCAGAAAGGUCUCUCCUGAGGGUUCAUCCAGGGUCCUCCAGGUUUUUUCAAGCCUGGAAUCUCCCCAGACUCCCCCCUACUACUACUACUAUCCAUCAAUAUAGAUCUAAUUUGAAACCCAACUAGCCAUGGUAUUUGAUACCAUGGUACUAAUCUUAUCUAAGUAGUUAUGGAUUUUCCCUUGUGUUGGGUUAUGAGAAUUAUAUAAUUGUUCAAGGAACUUAACAAACUGAUCACUGAUAUCUUUAGUGUUAGUGAUGGUUCGACCUUUAUCAUCCUUUAUUACUUUUAUAAGCCUCUUCUCCUUAACUUUCUUUAAUUUAUAGGCUAACGAUCUUGUAAUUUUAUUAUCAUAUUCAUAAUAACUUUGUUUCAAAUAAAUGGGUUGAGUAGAAAUUUUUGUCAUUUCCAAAACCAUGAGCACCUUCCUUUUCUUCUCUAUUUGCUUAAAGGCAUUAACAGACCCUGUUCUAUGAAAUAUUGCCAAUAAGUGUUUACUCUCCAGUUCUAGUUUAUCAUGCAUUUGUGUUGAUUCUUUUUUAAUCCUGCUCAUCUGAUCAAUUCACUCCCCUCUAAUAACAGCUUUCAUCGCAUCCCAUUUCAUUACUUGUGAUGUAUGUUCCUUAUCAUUUUCAUUUUUUAAAAAAUUCUUAAUGUUUAGGCCAAUUGUUGCUUUGCCACCCAGUCCACAAGUAAUCUAGGUUUAAAACGCCAAACCGGGAAGAAUAAAAAUUUCUCCUCUAAUUAGAUACUGUUUUAAUUGUGUUUUAAUUAUGCUUUAAAAUUUUUAACUUUUUAAUUUUAAUUUUUGAAAUGUUUUAAUCUUUUAUUGGCUGCCUUCAUCGUCUAUAAACCACCCAGAGAAAUUGCAUUUGGGGCGGUAUAGAAAUGUAUCAAAUAAAUAAAUAGAAAGAUAGAAUUAAAGAUCACUGGGGCAUGAUCUGAAACAAGAAUGGGUCCAAUUUCUCCCUUAUGAAAUUUUAUGAAAUGGAUUUGUGUUAAAAAAAGUAUUAGAUGCCCAUAUAUAAUCCAACCUAGAAUAAGAUUGGUGUCUUCCUGAAAAAAAGGUAAAACUUUUGCGGAGGGAUCAAGCAUUUGCCAAGAAUCUAUAAGCUCAUAUUUAUGCAUCAAUCUUUGAAAGUUCAAUUAUAGUAAGACUUGUUUCUUAUAUUGUAAAGAUCUUGAUUUAUUCUCGUUAGAUGACUUAGUGGCAUCAAUAUUAAAGCCCCCCCCCCAACACUAUAUUAUUACCAGCAAACCUUUUCAUUUUUCACGAGAGCCAGCGUGGUGUAGUGGUUAGAGUGCUGGACUAGGACAGAGGAGACCCGAGUUCAAAUCCCCAUUCAGCCAUGAAACUAGCUGGGUGACUCUGGGCCAGUCACACAUCUCUCAGCCUAACCUACUUCACAGGGUUGUUGUGAAAGACAAACUUAAGUACAUAGUACACCGAUCCGGGCUCCUUGGAGGAAGAGAGGGAAAUAAAUGUAAUAAUAAUAAUAAUAAUUUCCCUCAUUGUUUUCUGAAGGAAGUCAAUAUGUCUCUGAUUUGGAGCAUAGAUAUAGGCCCAAGUAAUAUCCUUAUUGUGCAACUUCCCCUUAAUAAAAAUAAAUCUUCCAUAUUUAUCUUUCAAAAAAAUUUCAAUACAAGAUCAAUGUCAGCUUUAAAUAAAAUGUCAACCCCUCUUGCCUUGUUUUUCCCUUGAGCAGAAAACUGUUUUCCAAAAUAUCUAUCAGCAAUACCAUCUAUCUUAUAAGUCUCUUGCAAAAUCCCCCUCCCCUCUGCCUCGUGCUGGGGGAGGGAGUUUGUUCCAGCCCUUCACGGGCCCAAGAAACAGCCCAAUUGGCUGCUUAGCACGAGAGGGGGCGUGGUUUCGGCCGAAAUCGGCCGAUCCACGCCCCAAGCUAGCAGUUGGCCUUCAGCUCUUCUGCAGGAAGGAGCUCCGUUUGCGUGCUCCUUCGGAUCAAGGGAGGGUGGUUGGUUUCGCCCGGGAAGGGGCGUGCGGCGCAGGGGAGUCCUCUCUGCAGCAUUCGGCGUCGCGGCGACGACGUUCUCCGCCCGGCUGGGCGCGGCGCAUUUUCGGCUUCUCUGGGCCUUCGGCCCGCACGAUUUGGUCCCUCUCCCCUCCGGCUCCCGGACUAGGCCCUGCCUUUUAAGGCAGUAGCGCUCAUGGGGGAUAACCCCUUUCACUCUCCUGGGUGGUUGAAGUCCCGUUUUUGUUGUUGUUGUUGUUGUUUCUUUCGUGCGUUAUCUUCUUCUUCUCCUGGCUUCUUCCUGGUCCCCUGGUGACAGAUUGGGGCUGUGGGUGGUCUGCCCAGCUGGGUGGGGGAUCGGGACUUGGCCUUGGGGGGGUGGGUUUUUCACGCUGACACAGGGUUCUAUCUUCCUGGCUGUUUAACAUAGCGUUUCUUGAGUUUGGGUGGAUUGGGGUGUUCCUGCCUGCUGCCAAGUAUGUGAGUGUACUGGUUGUUGGCUAACUGGUUUGCAGUCGGUUUGAUUGCAGUGCGAGUCAUGCCCAGGAAGGCUAAAGAAAAGAAGGGUGGGAGACCCAUCAGACCACCCAAGAGACCUGCUGCUCCUCCUCCGUCUUCCUCCGAGGAUGAGGACGAGGAAAUGGGUGUUAUUAGGGCCCUAAUAGGGAGGAUGGAGGCGUUGGAAAGGGCCAGGAAUGUUCCAUCGGAUCCAGGGGCUGGCACAUCUGGCGGCGGGGGCAUUCCGCCCCCCAAGGUCCCUCGCAGGACUCGUGGGGCUGCUAGGAGCCAGUUAUUGAAGUCUCUUUCCAGCAGGUUGGAGGCCCUUGAGAAGGCUGGGGCCCCUGCUGGACCCGACACUCCAUCUGAACCUUCUGGUCCAUCGAUGCCUUCGCCAGAUCCGCUGGGGCAGCCGGCUCCUGCACGACCUCCGGACCCGGUUCCUGCACUGCCUGGACCUGUUUCACCUCAGCCUGUGGCGCCGGCGGAGCAGCCUCUUCGGGAUCCGUCUCUCCCUUUGGCCCCGGGUGAGCCAGCAGCACCGACACCCCCCGGCAGCACCGGCCAGUGGCCUUCUAUACCCUGGCCUGUGCCUGCCAUGGGGGAUGGGGACCAGCCACAUACUGGUCCCCCUAUGCGCACACUUGGGGUUCAGGGUUCACUCCACCCAUGAUAGGUAACGUGUUGGGCCUCCAGGGCUCGGCCAAACAGAUCUGGGGUGUCAAUAGGCCCUCCGGCGCGCCCAUCAUCUCGUCUGCGAACAACACUACUGCCCCGGUCCCCGCGCCUAGCAGCCCGGGGUUCUAUCCUAUGGGCAUUACCCCCACACCCCAACACGCCCCGUAUGGGAGGAUGGGGCUUCCUUUAGGAGACCACUUGCUCCCUGCCACAAAGGAAAAGAUCUUAAAGGGAGAGUACAUAGACAUCUUUAGCCUGCUGUUCAGGGAACCCGAAGUUAAACAUAAAGAAAGAGAGUCCUGCAAGGAACAUGAGGCUACGAAGCGGAAACCGGUUGAAAAGACAUGGAGCAACUGGCUCUCCAGCUUUACCAUAUACAUGGGGGUAAUUGUGCAGGCGCAGCCGGCUAGGGGCCCCUCCUUGCUGAAAUACAUGGAUAUUAUCCACAGGGCCGUCUCUGAUUUUGCAGGAUCCGCUUGGAUCUGCUAUGACGAAAGUUUUAGGAUGAGAGCGGCCCUUGAUCUAUCUUUGCCCUGGGAUGCCCAGCUACAGGAAUUGUGGCUUGUGAUAAUGUCCCCAGCCCGCCCGGUUGAAGGGGACAGAUCUGAUAGCAGACACUUGUUGUCUAAGCCGCUUGGCUCCGUGUCUACUACUGGGUCAGGCCAUCAGUGGGUUCAACCCCACUUGGUCUGCUGGGAGUACAACUCAAAUGGUAGGUGCUCCCGGUCACCCUGCCGUUACAGGCACGCGUGUGGCCUCUGUGGGUCCAAACACCCCAGUUCAGGCUUCCCUCGGACCCAUUCCUCUGGUUCGGGAGGCAAGUUUCGGUCGGGAGGUGGUAGGAAGGGUGGCCCCCCUCCACCCGCUGCGGGUAAAGGGGCCCAGCCCCAUCAAGCUUGAGGUGUUGGGCCACCUGUUGCAGGAUUAUCCCGAUGGAUCGGCGGCUUCCUACUUGUUUUUUGGUUUCCGGGAUGGGUUUCGCAUCCCUUCAUCUUCUAGGCAGGGGUCCAUCACAACACGUAACCUCAAGUCCGUUAUAGGUCAGGAGCAGGUUGUCUUAAGGAAAAUCGCAAAGGAAGUCGCGGCCGGUAGGGUUGCGGGGCCUUUUCAGACCCCUGCCUUCCCAGGGCUGCACGUUUCACCGCUUGGGGUGGUACCCAAGAAGGUGCCAGGUGAAUUCCGGCUAAUUCACCACCUCUCUUACCCCAAAGGGUCGUCAGUCAAUGACGGCAUCCCCGACACUUUGUGUUCCGUCCGCUACACAUCCUUUGAUGAAGCGGUCCAGGUUGUUCACAGUAAAGGGGUGGGAGCUCUCUUAGCCAAGUGUGAUAUCGAGUCCGCCUUCCGCCUGCUGCUUGUCCAUCCAGCUGAUUUUGAGCUCUUGGGAUUUGCCUUCGCUGGUCAGUUCUAUUUUGACCGAGCGUUGCCCAUGGGCUGCUCGAUUUCAUGUGCGGCCUUUGAGGCUUUUAGCACUUUUUUAGAAUGGGCAGUGCGGCGGAGGGCGGGGCUUGUGUCAACGGCCCAUUUUUUUUGAUGACUUUGUCUUUGUAGGGAGGGGCAAUUCUGGGGAAUGUUGUCACCUGCUGUGCUCCUUCAUGGAGUUAGCAGCGGAACUUGGUGUCCCUCUAGCGCAAGAUAAGACGGAAGGCCCAGCUACCCGGUUGUCUUUCCUAGGCAUUGAGCUUGACUCAGUAGCAGGGUGCUCCAGGUUGCCCCCUGACAAGUUGCAAGCCUUGCUGGCUUUGGUUAGGACCCCAGGGGAGGCCCGAAAGGCUUCCCUGAGGGAACUGCAGGUGGUAGCCGGUCACCUGAAUUUUGCCUGCAGGGUGGUUGCCCCUGGUAGGGCUUUUCUGAGAAGACUCUGCGAUCUCAUGGUAGGCCUUCGGGCCCCGCACCACAGGGUGCGGAUCUCCGAAGGAGUCAGGGCCGAUUUGGCCCUGUGGGAAACCUUUCUUCUCACAUUUAAUAGUACCUCGCUCUGGCGGUCUGAACAGCUUUUAGAAGCCGACUUGCAGGUCCAUUCGGAUGUGGCUGGAGGGGCCGGGUUUGGGAUCUAUUUUAGGGGCCGGUGGUGUGCUGCCCCCUGGCCUGCAUUGUGGGUCGAACGAGGGUUAGUUAGGGACAUGACUUUUCUCGAGUUGUUCCCCAUUGUGGUUGCAGUCCACAUCUGGGAGGGGGAGUUUGCCAACUCUUCUGUGAGGUUCUGGUGUGAUAACCAGGCCGUGGUGCACAUUGUCAAUACCCAAACCUCACACUCACGGAGGGUCAUGUGCUUGGUCAGAGCACUGGUGCUCCAAUGCCUGCGGGCGAAUAUAGUCUUUCAGGCCUGCCAUGAUCCGGGGAUAAAAAAUGAGAUCGCUGACGCCUUGUCUCGUUUUCAGAUAGACAGAUUCAGGGCGUUAGCUCCCGAGGCAGCGCGGCUCCCGGACCCCAUGCCAGCAGUCCUGUGGCAGCUUGGCAAUUGGAAGCCCAGCAGGCCAUAGCAGCGUCACUGGCACCUAGUACCAGGGCGAGUUACGCAGCCAAGAUAGAGGCUUUUGCCCAAUUCCGGAAGGCUGAAGGUUUGGCAGAGUCUUGGCCUGCCCUGGUUGGUCACCUGCAGCAGUUUUUAGUCUCACUACACAAAGCGGGGCGAUCUGGGUCUACUUUGGGCGGUUACUUGUCGGCCUUGUCUUUUGAGGCUCAGGUUAGGGGGGUCGGGGAUUCCUCCUCCGAUCCACGUAUCAGGCGUAUGUUGGAGGGAUGGGCCAGGAUGUCUCCGGCGCUGAUUGACAGCAGGCGCCCGAUUAUGCUGGACAUGUUGGCUUCCAUUUUGGGUCGCCUGGACGGCUGUUGCUCCAACCCUUGGGAAGUUUCCCUCUUUAGGGCAGCGCUUCUGGUUGCCUUUUUUGGCGCAUUUCGCCCCUCUGAGUUGCUGCCGCGUAGCAGCUGUUCCCCACGGGAUUGUUGUCUCCAACUUUCUGACUUAACAUUUGAGGCCGGUACGGCUAACCUGUGCCUCUGUCGAUCUAAGACGGAUCAGAGGGGCAAGGGUCACUUGGUCAAGUUAGCAGAGGCUACUGGUUCUGCGCUCUGCCCGGUGGCAGCCCUUAGGCAUUACACUGGACUGUGUCCCCGGCCUGGGGGAUGCUUGUUUCUUCAUGGGAGCGGCUGCCCAUUGACACAAUAUCAGUUUCUGACAGUGAUCAGGAAGGUCCUUAAGGAAGCCAGGAUCCCCACAGCUGGGCUCACCCUUCAUUUCUUCCAGAUAGGGGCUGCCUCUACUGCUUCCGGAUUGGGCAUGACUGAGGAUGCCGUGCGGCGGAUUGGGCGUUGGAGGUCCGUGGCGGUCAGGCGGUAUGUGCGCUGACAGUGGCCAACGUCUCAUGGUUUCUCUUCUGUGUUUCUCCCUGCAGGUGCUGGUGGAGCGCCGGCUCCAGUCCAGGUCCUGGUGUGUGGCCAUUCGCUGGUCUUCUGGGCCUUCAGAUAUUUCUGUUUCCCAUGCCCUUGAUGUCAUCCUGGCAGUUUGAGAAGAAAUGGCAUCACUGCAAAAUGAUGCCACUCAAAAUGAUGAUUUUCAAAGCAUUCUUAAAGAAGCAGGACUGAACACUAUAGAACACCAACCAAAUCAUUCAAAUGAAAUAAGGUCCGGAGAUGGGGUGCAAAAGACGGGCAGUGUGUGGGAGGAAGAGAUGCAAACUUAGAAUCCUGGCAAGGUGGCUCCUCUGCCCGGGUCCCAGUGAUACCUCUCGGUUGUGCUAGCAUGAGGGGUGGCUGCUGGGGAGGGGCCAAAGGAGACAGGGAAAGAGCUUGAAGUCCUGGAUGGGGCCAAGCACAAGCUCCCAGCCCUAGAGCAGUGCUGUUGCCACUAGCCCAAGUGGUGGCUACACAGGGACGGGCCUUCUCUGUUGCCACCUCCAGACUCUGGAACGUGCUCUCUGCUGAAAUAAGAGCCUCCCCAUCUCUGACAACGUUAAAGAAGCCUUUCAAGAAACAUUUUUCACCAAAGCCUUUUAACUAGACUUGUGGUUUUAAAUCGUUUUUUAAUGUCUGUUUUAUUUUGUUUUAUGUUUUUGUAAACAAAAUAAACUGUCACUCAAAUGAAACUUGAUGUGGAUACAUGGAUCUCCUUAGCUAACAGCAUUUGGAGUA
This is an RNA transcript of Hemicordylus capensis (graceful crag lizard), 9658 nucleotides long. It is a transcript of the gene named RNA-binding protein 12-like, with no coding region annotated. The record is from RefSeq and is a predicted model, not a curated record. The transcript has 2 exons. Lineage: Eukaryota; Metazoa; Chordata; Lepidosauria; Squamata; Cordylidae.